AUGCACCUUUAUUAUUAUUAUUCUGAUAUAAGUGCCACACGUCAGAAACUGGAGUUCAAAUUCCCUCUGACCGUGUCGUGUGUCCACUUCAUAUGCUCUUCUAUUGGAGCCUAUAUCGCAAUCAAAGUGCUCAAAGUAAAACCACUGAUCGAGGUCGCCCCCGAGGAUCGCUGGAAAAGGAUAUUCCCCAUGUCAUUUGUAUUCUGCAUAAACAUAGUGUUGGGUAAUAUCAGCCUGCGGUACAUCCCGGUCUCUUUCAUGCAGACCAUAAAAUCUUUCACUCCUGCAACAACAGUUAUUCUGCAGUGGUUGGUCUGGAGGAAAUAUUUUGAGUGGCGCAUAUGGGCUUCUUUGAUUCCAAUAGUGGGUGGAAUCCUCUUAACUUCAGUAACUGAACUUAGCUUCAAUAUGUUUGGUUUUUGCGCUGCCAUGGUUGGCUGCCUUGCCACAUCCACAAAGACCAUCUUGGCAGAAUCCCUGCUCCAUGGAUACAAAUUUGACAGCAUUAACACAGUGUACUACAUGGCACCCUUUGCCACCAUGAUACUAUCGAUACCAGCGAUCGUACUCGAAGGGAGUGGCGUAAUCAACUGGCUGUACACAUACGAGUCAACCGUCCCUGCACUGAUCAUCAUAAUCACCUCAGGAGUUCUCGCCUUCUGCCUGAACUUCUCCAUCUUCUAUGUUAUCCAUUCAACGACAGCGGUGACCUUCAAUGUAGCCGGCAAUCUCAAGGUGGCUGUCGCGGUGCUGAUCUCCUGGAUGAUCUUCCGGAACCCGAUCUCUGCCAUGAACGCCGUAGGGUGUGGGAUCACGCUCGUCGGCUGCACCUUCUACGGCUAUGUGAGGCAUCUGAUCUCCCAGCAGGCCGCCUCCCCGAGCCCGCGCACCCCGAGAAGCCGGUUGGAGAUGCUCCCCCUCGUAGGCGAAAAGCAAGAGAAGAUCUAGCAGCAGGACAUAUAGGCGCUCUUGUCAAUCGUAGGAAUAAUGAACACACAGCAUUUGGGGUUAGAAAGAGCGAAGUUCCGUAGGAUACAUAUUUUGGUGUUGGUAACGAUGCUGUACUUGAUCCACCCGACUUAAUUUCGCUGUUGUUUCAUGUCAGUUGCUGCACCCGGUUUGUUCUUCGUGGAAGUGAUCUGACAUUUUUUGGCCUGUGCUGCUGGACAAAUACUUUCUUGUGCUAGUAUAAAAAGUUGUUCAGGAUGCUGCUUGCAGUAGCAUCUGACCACUGACGCUAGCAGAUUGCUGUAGGCGGCACAAUUUUUUGUUUCCUCUUAAGUGUUUGGAUUUUUUUUUACGGUGACCAUGGCAGGCAACAGCGGGCCUGAACCAUUUUCAAAUGAUUUGAAAAUCAGAAGACGAUACAACACCAAUCAUUUUCAAAUAUAUUGAGAACUCCC
This 1403-nucleotide ribosomal RNA is filed under the name Triticum aestivum (bread wheat). RNAcentral describes it as "partial small subunit ribosomal RNA". Lineage: Eukaryota; Viridiplantae; Streptophyta; Magnoliopsida; Poales; Poaceae. The record is from RNAcentral.